Molecule: ribosomal RNA, 1437 nt
Filed under: Akkermansia biwaensis
Lineage: Bacteria; Pseudomonadati; Verrucomicrobiota; Verrucomicrobiia; Verrucomicrobiales; Akkermansiaceae
Description: bacterial SSU rRNA
Rfam family: Bacterial small subunit ribosomal RNA
Source: RNAcentral
AACGAACGCUGGCGGCGUGGAUAAGACAUGCAAGUCGAACGGGAGAAUUGCUAGCUUGCUAAUAAUUCUCUAGUGGCGCACGGGUGAGUAACACGUGAGUAACCUGCCUCUUAGUGGGGGAUAGCCCUGGGAAACCGGGAUUAAUACCGCAUACGAUUGAAAGAUCAAAGCAGCAAUGCGCUAGGAGAUGGGCUCGCGGCCUAUUAGUUAGUUGGUGAGGUAACGGCUCACCAAGGCGAUGACGGGUAGCCGGUCUGAGAGGAUGUCCGGCCACACUGGAACUGAGACACGGUCCAGACACCUACGGGUGGCAGCAGUCGAGAAUCAUUCACAAUGGGGGCAACCCUGAUGGUGCGACGCCGCGUGGGGGAAUGAAGGUCUUCGGAUUGUAAACCCCUGUCAUGUGGGAGCAAAUUAAAAAGAUAGUACCACAAGAGGAAGAGACGGCUAACUCUGUGCCAGCAGCCGCGGUAAUACAGAGGUCUCAAGCGUUGUUCGGAAUCACUGGGCGUAAAGCGUGCGUAGGCUGUUUCGUAAGUCGUGUGUGAAAGGCAGGGGCUCAACCCCUGGAUUGCACAUGAUACUGCGAGACUAGAGUAAUGGAGGGGGAACCGGAAUUCUCGGUGUAGCAGUGAAAUGCGUAGAUAUCGAGAGGAACACUCGUGGCGAAGGCGGGUUCCUGGACAUUAACUGACGCUGAGGCACGAAGGCCAGGGGAGCGAAAGGGAUUAGAUACCCCUGUAGUCCUGGCAGUAAACGGUGCACGCUUGGUGUGCGGGGAAUCGACCCCCUGCGUGCCGGAGCUAACGCGUUAAGCGUGCCGCCUGGGGAGUACGGUCGCAAGAUUAAAACUCAAAGAAAUUGACGGGGACCCGCACAAGCGGUGGAGUAUGUGGCUUAAUUCGAUGCAACGCGAAGAACCUUACCUGGGCUUGACAUGUAAUGAACAACAUGUGAAAGCAUGCGACUCUUCGGAGGCGUUACACAGGUGCUGCAUGGCCGUCGUCAGCUCGUGUCGUGAGAUGUUUGGUUAAGUCCAGCAACGAGCGCAACCCCUGUUGCCAGUUACCAUCGAGUAAUGUCGGGGACUCUGGCGAGACUGCCCAGAUCAACUGGGAGGAAGGUGGGGACGACGUCAGGUCAGUAUGGCCCUUAUGCCCAGGGCUGCACACGUACUACAAUGCCCAGUACAGAGGGGGCCGAAGCCGCGAGGCGGAGGAAAUCCUGAAAACUGGGCCCAGUUCGGACUGUAGGCUGCAACCCGCCUACACGAAGCCGGAAUCGCUAGUAAUGGCGCAUCAGCUACGGCGCCGUGAAUACGUUCCCGGGUCUUGUACACACCGCCCGUCACAUCAUGGAAGCCGGUCGCACCCGAAGUAUCUGAAGCCAACCGCAAGGAGGCAGGGUCCUAAGGUGAGACUGGUAACUGGGAUGAAG